This 693-nucleotide long non-coding RNA is filed under the name Zostera marina. RNAcentral's name for it is "long non-coding RNA (ZMAR_LNC004613)". The record is from RNAcentral. Lineage: Eukaryota; Viridiplantae; Streptophyta; Magnoliopsida; Alismatales; Zosteraceae.
CCCACCUACGGAAGAACGUAGGUUAGACGGGGAACACAUCAGCUAAAGAGUAAACCUCACCUACGGAAACGUAGUGUUAGACGAGGGACGUACUCAAAAGUGAACCCCACCUACGGAAGAACGUAGGUUAGACGGGGAACACAUCGGCAAAAGUGAACCCCACCUACGGAAGAACGUAGGAUUAGACGGGGAACACAUCGGCAAAAGUGAACCCCACCUACGGAAGAACGUAGGUUAGACGGGGGACACGUCGGCUAAACACACACCCAAUUCUACAAAAAUGUAGACAGAGGGGCAAGUGUCCAAGAGUAAACCUCACCUACGGAAGAACGUAGAUUAGACGAAGGACAUACUCAAGAACAAUCCUCACCGACGGAUGAACGUAGGUAGACGAGGAGUCACACUUAGCCUCAGUCGCAGAAAGGCGAGCAAAAGGAGGGGGCAAGUAUUGAAACAACAAUCCUCACCUAUGGAUGAACGUAGGUAGACGAGGAACCACACUUAGCCUCAGUCGCAGAAAGGCGAGCAAAAGGAGGGGGCAAGUAUUCAAAGAACAAUCCUCAUCUACGGAAGAACGUAGGUAGACGAGGAGCCACACUUAGCCUCAGUCGCAGAAAGGCGAGCAAAAGGAGGGGGCAAGUAUUCAAGUAAUAGUCCUCACCCACGGAUGAACGCGGGUAGACGAGGAAGCAC